UAUAUUUAAGUGUUAGUGCACGAAAGUUUUUGAUGCUUUUAGUUUUAGUUUAAAUCUAUUAAAUAUAA
This 68-nucleotide transfer RNA is filed under the name Apsilochorema nigrum. RNAcentral's name for it is "tRNA-Gln". Lineage: Eukaryota; Metazoa; Arthropoda; Insecta; Trichoptera; Hydrobiosidae. The record is from RNAcentral.